GAUGAAGAACGUAGCGAAAUGCGAUAGGUAAUGUGAAUUGCAGAAUUCAGUGAAUCAUCGAGUCUUUGAACGCACAUUGCGCCCCCUGGUAUUCCGGGGGGCAUGCCUGUCCGAGCGUCAUUGCUGCCCUCAAGCACGGCUUGUGUGUUGGGCCUCCGUCCUCCUCCCGGGGGACGGGCCCGAAAGGCAGCGGCGGCACCGCGUCCGGUCCUCGAGCGUAUGGGGCUUCGUCACCCGCUCUUGUAGGCCCGGCCGGCGCUUGCCGACACAUCAAUCUUUUUUCCAGGUUGACCUCGGAUCAGGUAGGGAUACCCGCUGAACUUAAGCAUAUCAAUAAGCGGAGGA
This 345-nucleotide unclassified non-coding RNA is filed under the name soil metagenome. RNAcentral describes it as "partial contains 5.8S ribosomal RNA, internal transcribed spacer 2, and large subunit ribosomal RNA". The stretch from base 1 to 120 matches the Rfam family "5.8S ribosomal RNA", at positions 35 to 154 of the family's 154-position model. The record is from RNAcentral.